UGAGGAAUAUUGGUCAAUGGGCGCAAGCCUGAACCAGCCAUCCCGCGUGAAGGAUGAAGGUCCUAUGGAUUGUAAACUUCUUUUAUACACCAAGAAAAAGCAGGACGUGUCCUGCCCCGACGGUAGUGUAUGAAUAAGCAUCGGCUAACUCCGUGCCAGCAGCCGCGGUAAUACGGAGGAUGCAAGUGUUAUCCGGAUUCAUUGGGUUUAAAGGGUGCGUAGUCGGCUUUUUAAGUCAGUGGUGAAAUCCUGCCGCUUAACGGUAGAAUUGCCAUUGAUACUGAGAAGCUUGAGUACAAUUGAGGUAAGCGGAAUGUGUAGUGUAGCGGUGAAAUGCUAGAAUAUUACACAGAACACCAAUGACGAAGGCAGCUUACAAAACUGUUACUGACGAUGAUGCACGGAAGCGUGGGGAGCGAACA
This 422-nucleotide ribosomal RNA is filed under the name uncultured bacterium. RNAcentral's name for it is "bacterial SSU rRNA". It matches the Rfam family "Bacterial small subunit ribosomal RNA", at positions 355 to 774 of the family's 1533-position model. The record is from RNAcentral.